GAGAUUAGAAAUUUAAACACACCCAUGGGUUCAAAUACUAUGAAAUGUAUUGUGACACAAACGUUAGAGAUAAAUGACGCAGGGUGGUGUGGAUGGAAGACAAAUCAUUGCUCAAAGUUUGAAAAGAGUAUUCCUUAUGCAUUGUUGUCUCAAGUAGCAGGGAGGCAGUUGUUUAUUCUUGGUUCAUUGUCAAUCAGGUUUGAAGGAAUACAUUGGAGCGAAUCCAGUUCUGAAAUCUACAUACACCACUACAGUUGUCCAUUCAAAAGUUUCGGAUGAUUGCACCUCCAGUAAUGAAUAUGAGGAUGCGGAAGUUAAGGAUGAGUUCUAUGAUGCGAUU
This 340-nucleotide unclassified non-coding RNA is filed under the name Hevea brasiliensis (rubber tree). Lineage: Eukaryota; Viridiplantae; Streptophyta; Magnoliopsida; Malpighiales; Euphorbiaceae. The record is from RNAcentral.